AUACCCUAUUAUUUUUAAUGUAAUUUUUAGCCAUAGUAGUAUUAGUUAUGAUCUUGAAACUUAAAGAAUUUGGCGGUAUUUUAGUCUUUUCAGGGGAAUUUGUUAAUUAAUCGAUAAUCCUCGUUUAAUCUUACUUAUUUUUAUUUUUGUAUAUCGCUGUUUUUGAAAAUAUUUUUAGAUUAUUUUCUUGAUUAAUAAUUAUUUAAUAUUUCAAGUCAAGGUGCAGUUAUUUAUAAGUUUAUUAAUGAAUUACAAUAAAAAUAAUUUAUUAUGGAUAAUUAUUUAAAAUUAAUUUGAAGGUGGACUUGAAUGUAAUUUUAUGUAGAUUAUUAAAAUGAUUUUUGAGCUCUAAGAUAUGUACACAUCGC
RNAcentral lists this ribosomal RNA (368 nucleotides) under Eumiopteryx sp. 1 JMR-2016. Its description in RNAcentral is "partial 12S ribosomal RNA". The record is from RNAcentral. Lineage: Eukaryota; Metazoa; Arthropoda; Insecta; Mantodea; Thespidae.